Molecule: long non-coding RNA, 5948 nt
Filed under: Apis mellifera (honey bee)
Lineage: Eukaryota; Metazoa; Arthropoda; Insecta; Hymenoptera; Apidae
Description: uncharacterized LOC107965033, transcript variant X2
Source: RNAcentral
CAUACCCAUUUAUAUGUUAUAACAUUUAAGAUAGAUCUUCAAUUUCCAUUUCAUGUAAACAAGAUUAGGAAAAAAGAGUGAAGAUCGGUAGCUGUAACAUUGUUUGCAAAAAAAUUAAUAUCUCCUCAUCCGAGCAACGAUAUACAUCGCCAAACAACCCUUUCCAAGAUGACGCUAUUCGCACUCAAUAUUCCCCCAAUCAUGACACAAACUUCCUUUGUCGAUCUCCACCCUCGAACGAUCAUGUAGGCCGACCUACAAUCCUAAACCAACAAAGGAACGACGCUCAUCGUCCUCGAUCAUCAUCAUCAUCGUCGUCGUCGUCCCCCUUCCCCUCUCUCCACUCUCAGGAUGAUCGACAAUAAUCGUCGAUCGGCGUGACGAUCGACAUCCAUAGCCGCGUCGUGGUCGCACUCCGUGUGACACCGCGAAUGUGUUAUUUCCCUUUAAGUCCAACCUCCAUCCGGGUCACGUAUGGAAUACUGGAGAGGCAAGGAGGAAGGGUGGAGAAUAGGUAGUGUGGUCGCGCAUAUCCAGCCUCGUUACGCGGAUGGAUACGUCGACUGGUACAUGGCCGCUAUUAUUUGCGAGAUCGAUAACGGUUACCUGCGGGCGCCACCUGAGGGAAAAAGGGGACAUCAGAUGCAUAUCUGCCCAUUGGACUCAAGGCUUCCAUCACGGAUGCGAUCCUCUAUUCUUUCGUUUUGCUUCUGUCUCUUUUCCCUUGUUUGCUCCUCGUGUUUUCUUUUCUUUCUUCCUUUUUGUGUGUGUCUGUGUGUGUUUGUGUUAGAGAAAUGGUUUUACGGUUGGAUGUCUGUACAGUUAUACGUGUAUGUACAUAAGGCUUGUAUUAUUCAUAUCUAGGAAGGUUGCCAAUAUCUGUUUAAUUUUAUUUAUACAAUAAUAUAAUAUAUAUUGAAGUUGUAAGUUGAACGGAAAUUGUAAUACUUUUAUUAGAAGAUUUAGAUAUAAGUAUAAAUUGUAAAUGCAUGUUGAUGAUUGGGGAGAAGAAUGGUGAGGAAAGAAUGGUUCAGAUUUCUCGUUUUCAUUUUCUUUAUUUAUCAAUAAGAUGCGUUUAAAAAUGUGAAAUGGAGAACGUGUGUUUCGCUGACACACUGAAAAGUACAUUGAUUUCUUCAUAUAUUCAUCAUAUUCUGAAUCUCUUUCAGAUGUUUCUAUUAGUUCUUCAAUCAUCCUCCCCUUUCAAACAAGACGCCCAUAAGGCCCGGCCAUGUAUUACAUUAACAAGACUCGCCUUAUGCUCGACGACAAGCCCGUCUAACGAGCACGGGAGAGCGUGCACCCAAGUCUAAGUACAAGCAGCCAUAAAACGGCCAUCAAAUCGACGUGUCCUGAGAAGGCCGGUAAUAUCGCAUCUACAUGACCGCGUCUACCAUGGGCGGAAGUCAUUAUAAGAACGGCCGUCGUAAAAGUCUUUGGAUCAUUUGUUCCGCGAGAAUCCAACGUUCUUAUGGUCAUCGUCUUCGAGAGAAACACGAUAUCCUGAACCAGAGAUUUAUCAGUUUAAAGUAUAAAGAAUAAUGCUGGGAGCAAAGCUAAAUAAUUGAUAAUUAAGGAAGGAAAAUUAAUAGGAUGGAAAAUUUGAUAUAUCAACACACAAAGUGGGUUUCAAUGGGAAUUGAAAUUAUAAUAAUGGAAAUUGGAGAUUUAUGCUAUUGAGUAGUUAUGAAUAAAGUUAUGGAUACCAGAAUUAACAGAGUGGAAGUUAGUAUUAUGGUAGUAGUAAAGACUUAGAUCUAAUGUCAUUCAGCAGUGAACAAACGAAUGAACAAUAGAAAUUAACAAAAUUGGAAACUUAUGCCACUGUUGUUCAGCAGUAUUGAGGAUGAAUUGGCACUAAAAUUAGUGGAGUGAGGACUGAACACUUAAAGCUAUUCAUCAAUGUUGAGAAGCAAAAUUAUAUUUAUUCAAAAAUGUUGGAAACAAGAUACUAAAAUUAGUAAAAUGGAGAAUGGAGACUUACAUCUAGAGCUGUUCAGUAAUGUUAAGGGCAAUGAAAUUAGCAUGAUAAACUUUGAAAGCUUUUAUGCCAUUCAACAAUGUUGAAAAUGAAGCUAUGGAUACUAAAAUUAACGAGGAUUGAAGAUCUAGAAGAUAGAGCAAUGUUAGAAAUAAGACACCAAAAUUAGCAUAAUGAAAACUUUGGAAACUUAUAACACUGCUAUUUAGCAAUGUUGAAGAUGAAACUAUUAAAAUGAAGCAUCAUAAUUAUUGGAAUAAGGCUUAGGCUUAGAGCUAUUCAUGUUAAGGGCAAUGGAAUCAGAACAGUACAAGUUGGAAAACUUUAAAUUUAAUGCUAUUCAGCAAUGCUAAGAAAGUAAUGCAAAAUAGGAACUUGAGAUCAAAGUUCAGCAGUUGCUAUUCAUAAUAUUGAAGACACGAUUAUGGACAAAGAAAUUAUUGAAUUGAAUAAAACUAUGAAUAAAACUGACAAAGUGAAGACUUAAGAUUUUUAGAUCAAUAUUGUUCACCAGCUGAAAUAUCACAGAUAACAAAAUUUAUAGAUUACAGAUAACGAAGAUUAAACUUCAGACCAAUUCAAUCAAAUGAAUUCUAUUCAAUCCAUAAGCACAAGUUAUGCAAUGCUUUCAAUAAUUAAUUCAUCAUUACAAUAUACCUCAUGCAAAAACUAUCUCAAAGAGAAUUGCUCUACCUUUUUAAGUACAAGUUACUUUCUUACUCAAUCAUUUCCUAAUUCAUUUGAAAAAUAACAUAUAAUUAAUCUAUAUCCUUCUGCACAAACUAUGCUCAAAGACUUUUGCCCCACUUUUUUUAAGCAAUAAGUUCUUACUCAAUCUCUCAAUUAUCUCCUAUAAUUUGAAAGAAUAAUACAAUAUUUUCAAUAGUUAAUUCACCAUCACAAUAUAUCUUAUGCAAAAACUAUCUUAAAAGCCUUAUCUUUUUAAGUUAUUUUCUUACUCAAUCUCUUAAUUAUCAUUUAAAAAAAUACCUUCAAUAAUUAAUCCACUAAUACUCUUAUGCAAAAACUGUCUUAAAAGCUUCCUUAUCUUUUUAAAUACAAAUUACUUUCUUAUUCAAUUAUCUCCUAUAUUAUACUUGAAAAAUAACACGAUACUUUAAAUAAUUAAUCCACCACCAAAAAUACACGCUAUGCAAAAAUUGUAUCAAAGGUCGUUCACCUAUCUUUUUUCCCCCUCGGGAGGCGCAGGAAUCCCUCCCAAGUUCGCUAUAAUGCAGUCAUUUAGAGGGAAGCACGAAGCGAUAAUGCGCGGCGAUAGGGGGCGCAUCUUUGCAAUUUUCCCUUUUGGUAACUGGUUACCGGAGGCCUCGGCCAUUUUUAGAUUCUUAUCCGCGGAAAAAGUUUCUGCUUUGCGAGACGUUCGUUUCCGCCCCCCUUUCUCCCCUCCCCUCCCCAUUGUUGCAUCCUGCCCAAGUUUACCACCACCCACACCACACCUCUUCCAGCCACCAACCUCCACCUCGGCCACCUUUAUUGCCGUUUAUUCGGGACGCUCGUAAAAGUUAAUGCAACUUGGCAAAUUAUUUCUCCUCGAGCCGAGCCAACGUGCUUUAAUGGGACCACGAUAAUGACAGGCGGAUGCUCGUUUAAUAAAAAUGAAUAAGAAAGGCCCUGUUCAACCGUUUGUUCGAUCAAUUUUAAGGAAGGAAACGAAUUUUCGAUACUGAAUAUCGGUUCGUUUUAGAGAUUUGCCGGUGAAAAAUUUUUAAUCCUUACCUUACGAGUAUUUUACAUUAUUUCUCUUCUUUCGAAGAUAAAGACUCGUGUUACAUUAUCGAUGCCUUGUUCCUUCUUGAUCGACGUAGAUGUUGCCAAUUUUAUCGUCUCGAAACAACAAUGGAAGCACAAUGGGAGAAAAUAGUGGGGGAAAGAUAGGAAAGUGUCCGUGUACUUUUCGAGCUGCAACGAACAACUUCGAUUUUUCUUUUUAUAAAUGUUCGUUACAAGAAGAAGUUAGUAGAAAUAGAAAACGAUGUCAUCCUGUUUGAUCUAUGGUUCAGGAAACGAAGGUAUGUGAGUUUCUAUUCACAGCCACGACGGUAGAAAGAUAAAGAAUAAUAUGGAAAAGUGACGGUUGCGGUUGAUCGAAGUCGCGAAUCUUCGGAGAGUAAAAAUUCUUACGUACGAACGAUGACAUUUUCUUUCGUCCGGUUUUUUAAAAUUGAAUAAUAUAAUAGAAACGAAAUUUACAAUUAAUUGGAGACUACUAAUCAAUCUCUUGUCAAUUCCACUUGAACAUCAAAUAUCGAAUUUUCCAAAAUAUUAAUUUCAACUAUUAUUCCAUUCUUUUGAGUAAUCCUCAACGACUUUCCUUCCGCACCGACCGUUAAUACCUCUAAUUUAUCAUUGAAAGCGUACCAUAUAUUACCGGCGGGAUGACAAAUUACACGCAUACAUCACACAAUUUCAUCAAUGCACUACAUCCACGCGAACCACCACCUGACACCGGUGAUCAAUUAAAAAAAUCAACGACCAGGCCACCUCGCAAAUCACCCUUGAUUGCCGUUUCCAACGUCCAAACACCUGACACGGAAAGAAGCCCGAACAAGAAAAAAAAUCCCUUCAAAGAAACCAAUAAACAAACUCCAAUUUUUUUGUCCUCCAUCGCCUCGAAUCUCUCUUGGAUCGAUUAUUCUAAUUUCAUCACGAGCUAUGUAUAAAUUUUUUUGCAUGUUUUUAUUUGCUUAACGCGUUUUUAUUCAUUAAAAUACAAAGAAGUUAACAUCUAUAAAAAAAAUUUAAUAACAAAAAUAGCGCAACAAUAACGAUUAGAAAUCAAGCCAGUAAUUUCAAAUGAAAUCGCUUGUGCGAAUCUCAAAGAAUCUCCCCACAACGUUAAUUUGUCCACGUCAACGGCACGCGAGUCAUUUUUAACGCAUUAAGGACACCCUUUAACAACAACGGAAGGUGUUACGAGCAAAGGAACGAAUGCACGAAGAAGGGGAGUCAUCGGGGAUGGAUUAAAUUCACGCAGCUUUUUUUUCCAUUUAAGCCAACGUCACAUUCCCUUCCGGCCGUAAAUCUUCGGUUGUAAACGUUACGAUAUAGUCGUUUAAAGCGAAACAUAACGCGAUAAUGCACGGCUAUACGGUGCACACGCGUUGCAGUUCGGUCGGUAACCGCCACUUCCUUCGAACAAAUGCAAUUUUCCCGCGCCGACGGAUGAAGACUUUUUAAAUCGCUCUGGAAAACUUCGGGUUCGCGCAAUCAUCGUUUCUUCGAUUUUAUGCGAUUACCGACCGAGCGGAACGGAUAAUCCGUUCCAUAUGGCGACGACCACUUUAUCGCUUUUUAUAUUUAGGGCGAUCAGAGUUUAUUAGAAUUGGGCUUGAUUUCGUGGAGCAUCGUGUUGAGAUAGAAAAAGGAACAACUGAUCUUAACUUCGAAUUGGAAUUCAAGGAAGAAAACAUUGCAAAAAUUAUUCCAAAAGAAGAUACGCUUUUCUACUCAAGAUCUCUCUAAAACUUGGAAAAAAAAUUUGAAAGACCAACGAAUCGAGAGAUGUACUGCUGCUCGUUCAGAUGCAACAGCAUCCAAGGAUCAUCCAAUCCGGAACGCGAUUUCAACAUCACACCAAAUACAAAUCACGAUGAAACAACCGUAGCGGGCAGAGACAUCGUAAAUCCGCAGCGACCAAUUUUCGCCGAUUCGUACAACCUCCCCCCCCCCCUCCCCCCUCUCUGGCUAAUAAUCCAGAUCUGAUUCGCGGCUCUGAUCGUAUCGUUGCGAAUCAACGCUCGUAUUCCAGGAUUAUAAGUGAGUAUUGUAUCUUAUAAAUUCAACGAAAAAUUUUUAUUUUUUAUUUUUAUUUUUUAUUUUUUUCGUUGCAGGAAGUUAAGAAUAAUUCGGUUUUGAUACGUUUUAUACGAAUAAUAUGAAAUGUAUCCAUUUGUCCAUUUCGACACACAGGAUUGAUUUUGAACGAUGGAAUGAUUAUUUAUUUAAA